UGGAAAAGGAGAGAUGGGCUCUGGGUUCUACCUUUGCUCACUGGACCAAGGAAUCCUGGAAAGUGGUCCUGGCAGGACUGAUUGCCAGGCUGAAUACAAUCAGGGUCCCACUAGUAAGGAGGGGAGAAAGGAAAUAACACAGAUAGUUAUCUGCAGUAAUUGGCAUUAGGAAAAAAAACUUGACAAAGACUGACAAGCUCUGUUCCACUCCUGCCAUUUAAAGAAAAACACACACACGCAUAAAAACACCAAGUGGCCUCAGAUGGGCAGCACUCCUCCUGACCCUGGGCUUCAGAAAUUUUCACUGGGAGUCUGAUGAGGCUCAGCCACAGUUGUGUGGGACUGUUCUCAAUUUCAAGCAGAGGAGCAGAGAAAGCUGGUGUUCCAUCAUGAGAAUUAGGCUAAAAGUCUUAGCUUACUGCCCCAUGGAAGGAAGGACAAAUAGCAAUGACCAAGCAACGUAUUUUUAGCUUUGAGGCCAAAAUUGGCUGAAAAUGACAGAAGCAGUUACUUCAGAGAAAAUGAUUUUUUGCAGUUCUGCAUAAAUUUGAAGAGGUAAACCUGGAUUGCUGAGAACAAUGAGUUAUAUGCAGUGGACUAGAGGAAGAUGCAUAUUCAACCAUGU
Molecule: long non-coding RNA, 625 nt
Filed under: Homo sapiens (human)
Lineage: Eukaryota; Metazoa; Chordata; Mammalia; Primates; Hominidae
Description: HSALNT0152351
Source: RNAcentral